CGAGAGGACCGGAGUGGACGCAUCACUGGUGUUCGGGUUGUCAUGCCAAUGGCACUGCCCGGUAGCUAAAUGCGGAAGAGAUAAGUGCUGAAAGCAUCUAAGCACGAAACUUGCCCCGAGAUGAGUUCUCCCUGACUCCUUGAGAGUCCUGAAGGAACGUUGAAGACGACGACGUUGAUAGGCCGGGUGUGUAAGCGCAGCGAUGCGUUGAGCUAACCGGUACUAAUGAACCGUGAGGCUUAACCUUACAACGCCGAAGCUGUU
Molecule: ribosomal RNA, 264 nt
Filed under: Escherichia coli
Lineage: Bacteria; Pseudomonadati; Pseudomonadota; Gammaproteobacteria; Enterobacterales; Enterobacteriaceae
Description: partial 23S ribosomal RNA
Rfam family: Bacterial large subunit ribosomal RNA
Source: RNAcentral